This 490-nucleotide ribosomal RNA is filed under the name uncultured bacterium. Its description in RNAcentral is "partial 16S ribosomal RNA". It matches the Rfam family "Bacterial small subunit ribosomal RNA", at positions 30 to 507 of the family's 1533-position model. The record is from RNAcentral.
AUUGAACGCUGGCGGCAUGCUUUACACAUGCAAGUCGGACGGCAGCACAGAGAAGCUUGCUUCUUGGGUGGCGAGUGGCGAACGGGUGAGUAACAUAUCGGAACGUACCGAGCAGUGGGGGAUAACUAAUCGAAAGAUUAGCUAAUACCGCAUAUUUUCUGAGGAAGAAAGCAGGGGACCUUUGGGCCUUGCGCUGUUUGAGCGGCCGAUAUCUGAUUAGCUAGUUGGUGGGGUAAAGGCCUACCAAGGCGACGAUCAGUAGCGGGCCUGAGAGGAUGAUCCGCCACACUGGGACUGAGACACGGCCCAGACUCCUACGGGAGGCAGCAGUGGGGAAUUUUGGACAAUGGGCGCAAGCCUGAUCCAGCCAUGCCGCGUGUCUGAAGAAGGCCUUCGGGUUGUAAAGGACUUUUGUCAGGGAAGAAAAGGGCGGGGUUAAUACCCCUGUCUGAUGACGGUACCUGAAGAAUAAGCACCGGCUAACUACGUG